Hevea brasiliensis (rubber tree) is the source of this 1324-nucleotide long non-coding RNA. RefSeq lists it as uncharacterized. Lineage: Eukaryota; Viridiplantae; Streptophyta; Magnoliopsida; Malpighiales; Euphorbiaceae. The transcript is spliced from 3 exons. The record is from RefSeq and is a predicted model, not a curated record.
AGCUAUAUAACGAAUUGAAUAAACGAGCCAAUUCGAAGUCUAUCUUGAAUCAAAUUAAAGCCUAAUAAAAAUCGAAACAAGCCGAAGUUGAGCUUCAAAUUCGAGCCUGAGCUCAGUAAAAAUUUCACAAAAGCUUGAGCUUUUCAAAUCCCGCUCGGCUCCUUCGCACCCUUUGCUGCGAAAAAACCAGACUUCUGUGCUCGCUCACUCAUCGCUGCACACCUCAAACUCGUCUUUGCUUCCUUUUCUGCUACUCGCUUCUUCUUCUUAUUAACUCUACCAAUUCACCUGCAGAAACUGUCUCCACCAUUUCAAUUCCAGAUUCAUCAGCUGAAGGAAAAGCUGGAAGGAUGCUGGAGUUGCUAAGGAAAAGGAUCCCAAACAAAGGGCAUUCGACGGAGUAUCUGACACUUCCUCUCAAAUUGUGUCUGUAAUUUUUCUUCUCAUUUCGUUUACUUUCAAUAUCGGAUCAAGAAUUUACCGCGUUUGCACAAAAAUCGUUGACAGCUCCUGCUUAAUUUGAAAUGUGUUUGAGAGUGCACUUCAUGCUUAUGUUCGUGCUUCCAUACUAUUUGGUUUCAUUGAUUCAAGUCUGUUUGGUGUAUUCAGUAUUUUAUUUUCUAUUAAUAGUCGACUUUACUAACCAAUUAUCAUCUGUUGUUGGAAACUGUCGUAGUCAUCUAAAAAGGGUCGUAGUUCAUGUCAUUUAUCUGAUGCAGCUCUCUAUAACUUGAACAGAUACAUGUAGAAUAUUCCUCAAUUGGCAAUUGGGUCACAGUUCAUUGCAAUAGAAGCUGCUGGAAUAUUACCAUUAGAAAGAACACGUUCUUUAACUUUUCCUUGGCUUAAAUUGUCAUGUUGAUAUUUGGAGUGAAUAAUGAAUGGAGACUUGCUCAAUUCAUAUUCAUUAUCAAGUGAAUUUGUUUACUUAAUUCUUUUUAGAGAGUCAUUGAAUUUGGUGCUACUCAAUUUAUUAUCCCCAGAAAUUUUCCAAUUUGUUACAUGCCUAUAUAUCUUAUAGGAUUUCACUCCAAUGAUUCCUGUGCAUAUGAUGAAUUUCAUUGCCUCAAAAGAAUGAAUAUCACAAUGAACAACUCCGGCAAGCAAUUGAAGAAUUGCACCAAGAGCAUCCAAAUGUGACUAUAGUAUACAGAGAUUGCUACAAUGCAUACAAGUGGAUUUUGCUGAAAGCUGCAUUACUAGGAUUUGAUCCAAAAUCAUUGCAAAAAGCUUGUUGUGGGAGUGGAGGUGUUGUGGGAGUGCAGUUGAUUAUGACUUUACUCUUGGUAGAAUGUGUGGAGCUCCUGAUGUACCGAUUUGUCCU